UACGAAGGGUGCAAGCGUUACUCGGAAUUACUGGGCGUAAAGCGUGCGUAGGUGGUUUGUUAAGUCCGAUGUGAAAGCCCUGGGCUCAACCUGGGAAUGGCAUUGGAAACUGGCGGGCUAGAGUGCGGUAGAGGGUAGUGGAAUUCCCGGUGUAGCAGUGAAAUGCGUAGAGAUCGGGAGGAACACCAGUGGCGAAGGCGGCUACCUGGACCAGCACUGACGCUCAUGCACGAAAGCGUGGGGAGCAAACAGG
RNAcentral lists this ribosomal RNA (253 nucleotides) under uncultured bacterium. Its description in RNAcentral is "partial 16S ribosomal RNA". It matches the Rfam family "Bacterial small subunit ribosomal RNA", at positions 524 to 776 of the family's 1533-position model. The record is from RNAcentral.